Long non-coding RNA from Molossus molossus (Pallas's mastiff bat), 309 nucleotides. RefSeq lists it as uncharacterized. The record is from RefSeq and is a predicted model, not a curated record. NCBI's taxonomy places the organism in Eukaryota, Metazoa, Chordata, Mammalia, Chiroptera, Molossidae. The transcript has 3 exons.
GGCUGGAGGCUGGCAGAGACAUUCUUUUGGGGGCGCCAGGCCACAGGACCGCGAGGCCGAGCGGGUGUAUGUGGCUGCGAGGCUUCCCUCUUCGGUAGCCUGGGAAGAGUCAGGCCUCGGAGGAGCCUUGACCAGAGAGCCAGGAAUCCCGUCAGCUGUGUCUGUGACUGAAAGAGCACUUCCGAGAGCGCGGCCUCUCCGAAGAGAAGUGUCCCAGGCCAGCUGGCGGCUGAAACAACAGACAUUUGUCUCACAGUUCUGUUGGCAAGAAGUGUGACGUCAAGGUGUGUGCAGGCUGGUUCCUACGAG